This 403-nucleotide ribosomal RNA is filed under the name uncultured Glomeromycotina. RNAcentral describes it as "eukaryotic LSU rRNA". It matches the Rfam family "Eukaryotic large subunit ribosomal RNA", at positions 342 to 647 of the family's 3401-position model. Lineage: Eukaryota; Fungi; Glomeromycota. The record is from RNAcentral.
GAACAAGUACCGUGAGGGAAAGAUGAAAAGAACUUUGAAAAGAGAGUUAACAGUACGUGAAAUUGUUGAAAGGGAAACGAUUGAGGCCAGUCAUGCCUGCGAGAAAUCAUCAUUUUAAUCUUAUUUUCGAAUUUGAUUAAUUGGUGCACUUUUUCGCGUGGCAGGUUGCAUCAACUUUAAUGGUUGUAAAAUGGUGGUCGGAAUGUGACUCUUUUAGAGUGUUAUACCGAUUGCAGAUGCAACGAUUGGGGUUGAGGUUUGCGGCAAAUGCCUUUGGGCUACUUACUUCCUUCUGAUCUGUUCACUUUAGAAUGACAGCUUGCUGACAUUUUGAAGGGCGUUCAUCAAUAGGGUAGAGUAUUGAUAAAUUUGCCAAGGAUGCUGACGUAAUGACCUUAAACGA